Molecule: long non-coding RNA, 462 nt
Organism: Oreochromis aureus
Lineage: Eukaryota; Metazoa; Chordata; Actinopteri; Cichliformes; Cichlidae
Exons: 3
Source: RefSeq, a predicted model, not a curated record
CUUUAUAAUGAAUACCACCUGGAAGCCUGGUUCAUACCUCCUCACUUAAAGACCGGAUUACAGCAUCGUGCGCAUUUUUGUUUUUGAUUCAAGCACAUAUAUUGCUUGAGGAUGUAACAUACCUUGUACCCAUGUCAUCAUGCAGUCCAAGAGGCUUAAGACUAAAAAGGGUCACUACAGUGGAUCAUUGGCCUCCAUCUCACCCUAUGCCUAGCAUUCUCCUCUGACUCACCAGCCCCUUGUAUGUCUUCCUUCACAACAUCCAUGAACCUCCUCUGUGGUCUUCCUCUUUUUCUCCUGCUUGUCAGUUCUACAUUCAGAAUCUGUUGUCCAGUAUAUCCACUUUCCCUCCUCUGCAUAUGUUCAGAACAUUUCAACUGUUUCUCUCUAACUUUGUCUCCAAACUGCUCAUAUCCGUCUGAUAUACUUUGUUUGUCCAUCCUUGUCACUCCCAAUAAAAAU